ACGUUGACUCAAUCUUGUGUUUAUUAAGUGUGAGAUUUAUUGUAAUCUUAUACAAAUAUAUCAUAAAUUUGCUAAAGGCACUAAACAGUACAGAGUGUAAACAAAGUGGGUUGGGGUUUUACCAAACACAUUUUAUACUUCUGUGCCCUUAAAAAUCAACAUUUUACACAGGCAGCUAAUUGCACUUUAAUAUAGCAAAAUAUAAAAUACUCAGGGUAGAUAAAAAUUAGCAUUGUAAGUUAUAGUGGAAAAAAACAUAUUUCAUACAACAAAAGUGAUAGAUAUCUAACAAAAUAUUAUAAAUAUAUGACUCCUUUCAUCCCUAUAUGUCACAAGUAAGCUUGACCGUAUCAAUGGAAUAGGACAAUCUACUUUUGACAGGAUGGGUGAGAGGUAAUAAUUAAUUACUGUAAAGUAAUCUCUCCGUGAUACUUCAGAUACACAUGUACAAUUAUGACAUUAACAGGCUAAUAAUUGAUGCACACAACUUCAUGCUUUAUAAACAGGCCAUUUCUUUUUACAGACCAUAUAUAGGUUAUUCUACAGUAUUCCAGAUUUUAUAGGACAUAUUUCUGUUUUCCUUUAAAGGAAAUUGUUGGUAUUUCAGUUAUUUAACAUAAAACCUAAUAUACGAGAACAAAUAUGACUGGGUUAUUAAUUUCCAUAAUACCAGUAAGGUAGACAUUUUCCAAUCAGAAUUAAACACCUUUUUUGCCCCCUAUCACUGUCGUGUACAGUGUGGAGAGAUGAUCGUGUCUCAAAAUCUUAAAUCCUGUGUAUGGAAUUGGUAUCGAAUGAUACCUGGUGAAUAUUUAAUUCCAUCUCUGAUGAGUAUUGCAAAGAUAUAAUGAAACUAUUCCGAAUUAAAAACAUGAAAUUUGGCAAGUGUUACCUGAGUUGUUGUGGAAACAUUAAUAUUAGAAAAUAUUCUGAAGAGUUACCGGUAAUUAAUUUUCCACAGUCAGUUUACAAGUGUCUUAAAAGAACCAAACUUCCAAUAAUGUUAAUUGUGUUUAAAAGAAAAAUGUAAAAAUCCAAACUUUCAAUGACUAAUGGAAAAUCUACAAUAAUGAGAGAAACAAAAAUUAUACAAGCAACAUGAUUGGUUGUUUAAUUUAAUACAGUCAAUGCAACAGACUUAUGUAAAAUAUUGUUUCACAGUCCUCAACUCUGUGGUAAUAAUGUCAACACAGAGUCCCUACUGAGUAUGAGAAAAGCUACAAAAUCCUAUACUGGUACUUUUUGUUGCGAAACAUAGAUAAUUUAUAAAUGAUCAAAAAGAAGAUCAUAGGGAAUCAUAUACAAGAUAGUUGUUCCAUAUUCAAAUUAUAUCAAAUAAUGCCUUGUAUAUUUAUUGUGUUUGCUGUGAAUAAUUCAAGUUUGUUUUCUAAAUAUAUAAUGCAACAAUACACAUAAUAUAAAAUUAAUUUCUUUUUUACCACACAUAUUUCCAGCGAAAGUAAUUUGGAACUCAAAAAUAGUUAUUUGACAGCAAUAAGUUGGAUAAAAAACACCUCUACCAAAGACUUAGAACCCAAAACUUAAGAUCACUGUCUUAAUGUAACAUGUAUGGAAAGUUAUAUCUCCCUUUAAAAACAAUUUCUUCAAAUGAAACCUAUUCUGUAACUAUUCUGAACUCUUCUAGAAAGGAGGUGCAUAUAGCACAGAGUAAGAUAGAUGACAUUUUUCAUAUAUACAGCAGAGAAUACAAUUAUGUAGAGUAGUGGAGUAAACAUUGACUACAACAUGACUAGCUAUGGCACAAGCAAUACAAUGUCCUGAAGACGCCUAACCUGCUGUACGUGUCUUAUAGUACAGCAAAACCUGUCUAAAUCGAGUGUCCUGAAGACGCCUAACCUGCUGUACGUGUCUUAUAGUACAGCAAAACCUGUCUAAAUCAAGUGUCCUGAAGACGCCUAAACUGCUGUGUCUUAUAGUACAGCAAAACCUGUCUAAAUCAAGUGUCCUGAAGACGCCUAACCUGCUGUGUCUUAUAGUACAGCAAAACCUGUCUAAAUCAAGUGUCCUGAAGACACCUAAACUGCUGUGUCUUAUAGUACAGCAAAACCUGUCUAAAUCGAGUGUCCUGAAGACGCCUAAACUGCUGUGUCUUAUAGUACAGCAAAACCUGUCUAAAUCAAGUGUCCUGAAGACGCCUAACCUGCUGUACGUGUCUUAUAGUACAGCAAAACCUGUUAAAAUCGAGUGUCCUGAAGACGCCUAAACUGCUGUGUCUUAUAGUACAGCAAAACCUGUCUAAA
This is a long non-coding RNA of Pecten maximus, 2261 nucleotides long. RefSeq lists it as uncharacterized. The record is from RefSeq and is a predicted model, not a curated record. Lineage: Eukaryota; Metazoa; Mollusca; Bivalvia; Pectinida; Pectinidae. The transcript is spliced from 2 exons.